ACUCCUACGGGAGGCAGCAGUAGGGAAUCUUCCACAAUGGGCGCAAGCCUGAUGGAGCAACACCGCGUGAGUGAAGAAGGGUUUCGGCUCGUAAAGCUCUGUUGUUAAAGAAGAACACGUAUGAGAGUAACUGUUCAUACGUUGACGGUAUUUAACCAGAAAGUCACGGCUAACUACGUGCCAGCAGCCGCGGUAAUACAUAGGUGGCAAGCGUUAUCCGGAUUUAUUGGGCGUAAAGAGAGUGCAGGCGGUUUUCUAAGUCUGAUGUGAAAGCCUUCGGCUUAACCGGAGAAGUGCAUCAGAAACUGGAUAACUUGAGUGCAGAAGAGGGUAGUGGAACUCCGUGUGUAGCGGUGGAAUGCGUAGAUAUAUGGAAGAACACCAGUGGCGAAGGCGGCUACCUGGUCUGCAACUGACGCUGAGACUCGAAAGCAUGGGUAGCGACCAGGAUUAGAUACCCUGGUAGGAUAGCG
RNAcentral lists this ribosomal RNA (473 nucleotides) under uncultured bacterium. RNAcentral's name for it is "bacterial SSU rRNA". It matches the Rfam family "Bacterial small subunit ribosomal RNA", at positions 335 to 801 of the family's 1533-position model. The record is from RNAcentral.